RNAcentral lists this ribosomal RNA (543 nucleotides) under uncultured bacterium. Its description in RNAcentral is "bacterial SSU rRNA". It matches the Rfam family "Bacterial small subunit ribosomal RNA", at positions 787 to 1324 of the family's 1533-position model. The record is from RNAcentral.
CUGGUAGUCCCAGCCGUAAACGAUGGACACUAGUUGCCGGGAGAGUCAAUCCUUUCGGUGACGAAGCUAACGCAUUAAGUGUCCCGCCUGGGAAGUACGCCCGCAAGGGUGAAACUCAAAGGAAUUGACGGGGGCCCGCACAAGCGGUGGAGCAUGUGCUUUAAUUCGAUGCAACGCGAAGAACCUUACCUGGGUUUGACAUGGGGGUGAAAGUCUGUAGAGAUAUGGAUCUUUCCGCAAGGAACACCCCACACAGGUGCUGCAUGGUUGUCGUCAGCUCGUGUCGUGAGAUGUUAGGUUAAGUCCUGCAACGAGCGCAACCCUCGCCCUUAGUUGCCAUCAGGUGAUGCUGGGAACUCUAAGGGGACCGCCUGGUUUAACCAGGAGGAAGGUGGGGAUGACGUCAAAUCCUCAUGGCCCUUACGUCCAGGGCUAGACACGUGCUACAAUGGUAGAUACAGCGGGAUGCAAGCUGGUGACAGCAAGCCAAUCCCUUAAAAUCUAUCUCAGUCCGGAUUGAAGUCUGCAAUUCGACUUCAUGAA